UGGCUCAGAUUGAACGCUGGCGGCAGGCCUAACACAUGCAAGUCGAGCGGUAGAGAGAAGCUUGCUUCUCUUGAGAGCGGCGGACGGGUGAGUAAUGCCUAGGAAUCUGCCUGGUAGUGGGGGAUAACGUUCGGAAACGGACGCUAAUACCGCAUACGUCCUACGGGAGAAAGCAGGGGACCUUCGGGCCUUGCGCUAUCAGAUGAGCCUAGGUCGGAUUAGCUAGUUGGUGGGGUAAUGGCUCACCAAGGCGACGAUCCGUAACUGGUCUGAGAGGAUGAUCAGUCACACUGGAACUGAGACACGGUCCAGACUCCUACGGGAGGCAGCAGUGGGGAAUAUUGGACAAUGGGCGAAAGCCUGAUCCAGCCAUGCCGCGUGUGUGAAGAAGGUCUUCGGAUUGUAAAGCACUUUAAGUUGGGAGGAAGGGCCAUUACCUAAUACGUGAUGGUUUUGACGUUACCGACAGAAUAAGCACCGGCUAACUCUGUGCCAGCAGCCGCGGUAAUACAGAGGGUGCAAGCGUUAAUCGGAAUUACUGGGCGUAAAGCGCGCGUAGGUGGUUUGUUAAGUUGGAUGUGAAAUCCCCGGGCUCAACCUGGGAACUGCAUUCAAAACUGACUGACUAGAGUAUGGUAGAGGGUGGUGGAAUUUCCUGUGUAGCGGUGAAAUGCGUAGAUAUAGGAAGGAACACCAGUGGCGAAGGCGACCACCUGGACUGAUACUGA
RNAcentral lists this ribosomal RNA (728 nucleotides) under Pseudomonas sp. 110623_PC_C1_B6. RNAcentral's name for it is "bacterial SSU rRNA". It matches the Rfam family "Bacterial small subunit ribosomal RNA", at positions 20 to 743 of the family's 1533-position model. The record is from RNAcentral. Lineage: Bacteria; Pseudomonadati; Pseudomonadota; Gammaproteobacteria; Pseudomonadales; Pseudomonadaceae.